UCCCUGGUGGCUGAGUGUAAAGAAUCCGCCUGCAGUGCGGGAGACCUGGGUUCUAUCCCUGGUGGGGAA
RNAcentral lists this transfer RNA (69 nucleotides) under Bos taurus (domestic cattle). It matches the Rfam family "tRNA". From Rfam's summary of the family: Transfer RNA (tRNA) molecules are approximately 80 nucleotides in length. Their secondary structure includes four short double-helical elements and three loops (D, anti-codon, and T loops). Further hydrogen bonds mediate the characteristic L-shaped molecular structure. tRNAs have two regions of fundamental functional importance: the anti-codon, which is responsible for specific mRNA codon recognition, and the 3' end, to which the tRNAs corresponding amino acid is attached (by aminoacyl-tRNA synthetases). tRNAs cope with the degeneracy of the genetic code in two manners: having more than one tRNA (with a specific anti-codon) for a particular amino acid; and 'wobble' base-pairing, i.e. permitting non-standard base-pairing at the 3rd anti-codon position. RNAcentral also lists the same sequence under 1 other name. The record is from Rfam by way of RNAcentral. Lineage: Eukaryota; Metazoa; Chordata; Mammalia; Artiodactyla; Bovidae.